AUGAGAACAUUGUGCUAUAAUUGUCGCGGGAUUGGCGACUCCGCGACAGUUUGUGAGCUCCGGGAGUUCAUUCAGGAGAGUGCGCUGUCGGUGGUUUGCAUUGUGGAGACUAUGUCAAAGCAGAGAGUGGAGGGCCUGACGACGAUGUUAGGUUUUCGGGGAGGUUUUCGUGUGGCUAGUUGUGGACGGAGCGGAGGCUUGCGACUUUUCUGGAGGCAUGGAUUAAAUGUUCGAGUGAAGAACUUUUCUCGUUACCAUAUUGAUGCGUGGGUUGCAGAACCAGGUAAGGAGGAUUGGAGGUUAACUUGCUUUUAUGGUGAGGCAAACCGUAGUUUGUUGCAAAACACCUAG
RNAcentral lists this ribosomal RNA (351 nucleotides) under Triticum aestivum (bread wheat). Its description in RNAcentral is "partial small subunit ribosomal RNA". Lineage: Eukaryota; Viridiplantae; Streptophyta; Magnoliopsida; Poales; Poaceae. The record is from RNAcentral.